UGCACCUGAACUUCCAGGCCCAGCGCCCCGCCCCCACCUCACCACUUGCCUGGAAUCACCCCACAAAGAGGGCCCCCCUUCCCCAGCCAGCCAGGGGCCUGGUGGGGACACAUCCUGCCCAGACGUUCUGGCCUUGGGGCCCUCGGGGGCUAUGGGUCACCCAUGGGAGGGGCUUUGUGGGAAGACCCGCCGCGGUCAUGGGAGAAUCCCGCCAGGCCCUCAGCCCGCCCGCUCCCUGGCACUGGGCCCCUCACAGAGGGUUGGGCACCAUUCUGGGCACACAUGGUGCCCUGGGAGGCACGCAGAAUGUAAGGGGAAGCCCGGAGGGCCCCUGGCCCUCAGGAGGGGUCAGCCUGCCUGCCAGCGGAUGGUGAGCUCCCCGUCACAGUCCUGGGGCCCACAAGGUGCCUGGCUCCCCACCCGACCCCUGGGACGCUCUGUAAUUCUGCCAGUUUCCUUGGACUGACUGCGCGCUGUCAUGGGAGGAGGGGUCGGGGGCAGGGCCUGGGGCCGGGCGGAGAAGGUACGGCUCCCAGGCUGGGGCUGCAGUGUGGUGGGCAAGGGGAGGGUCCCCCAGAAGCCCGGGGGGGCGGGGGUCGCAGACCGCGCUGGCCCGUGAGCAGCACAGCCUCUGGGACUCUGCUUCCCUGUGUGUAUGGGGGGUGCUCUGGCAGACCGCAGCCAGCCAGCUGGCACAGAGGUGUGGGUGGGGCCGCGGCCCGGAUGCCAGGGCACCUGAGACCUGCCUUCUCGCCCCACUCCGGGGCGGGGCGAAGCUCCCAGCUUUGGGCUGGAGGCGGCCGCGGCAGCUCGCACCGGUCAGCGCCCCCCCGGCCUGUGAGUCUCUGCCGGAUUUCCUGUGGUGGAGGGAGAGUCGUGGGCCUGGUUCUCUCCUUCCGGGGCCAGCAGCAGGAGCCCUUGGGACCCCGGGCCUCUCCCUCUGCCGCUGGCCCAGUCCUGACUCUGGGGAGGAGCAGGUCCCAGGGAGAUGGGCAGCCUGCCAGGGGGCAGGCCCGGGGCCCACGGGAUCGGAGAGCCCAGUGGGCACUGCCAAGGUCUGACUCGGACUCUGCAGCCUUCAGAACCACGAGGACUCUGCCAGUCUCCAGUGCACACGGAGGGUGGCCCGGGCCCUGUUCCCGCCUGCGGAGAGUCUCGGGCCUUGACCGGGGUGAGGAGCGGGAUGCGGGGCGAGCCCUCCCAAUUG
This 1207-nucleotide long non-coding RNA is filed under the name Sarcophilus harrisii (Tasmanian devil). RNAcentral's name for it is "lncRNA (ENSSHAG00000020647.1)". The record is from RNAcentral. Lineage: Eukaryota; Metazoa; Chordata; Mammalia; Dasyuromorphia; Dasyuridae.